UACGGAGGAUGCAAGCGUUAUCCGGAUUCAUUGGGUUUAAAGGGUGCGCAGGCGGAAUGGUAAGUCAGUGGUGAAAUCCUACGGCUCAACUGUAGAAUUGCCAUUGAUACUGUCGUUCUUGAGUAUAGUUGAAGUGGGCGGAAUGUGUCAUGUAGCGGUGAAAUGCUUAGAUAUGACACAGAACACCGAUCGCGAAGGCAGCUCGCUAAACUAUCACUGACGCUCAUGCACGAAAGCGUGGGGAUCAAACAGGAUUAGAUACCCUGGUAGUCCACGCUGUAAACGAUGAUUACUCGAUGUUGGCGAUAUACAGUCAGCGUCUAAGCGAAAGCAUUAAGUAAUCCACCUGGGGAGUACGGCCGCAAGGUUGAA
Molecule: ribosomal RNA, 372 nt
Filed under: uncultured bacterium
Lineage: Bacteria
Description: bacterial SSU rRNA
Rfam family: Bacterial small subunit ribosomal RNA
Source: RNAcentral